This 253-nucleotide ribosomal RNA is filed under the name uncultured bacterium. Its description in RNAcentral is "partial 16S ribosomal RNA". It matches the Rfam family "Archaeal small subunit ribosomal RNA", at positions 474 to 727 of the family's 1478-position model. The record is from RNAcentral.
UACCAGCACCCCGAGUGGUCGGGACGAUUAUUGGGCCUAAAGCAUCCGUAGCCGGUUUUACAAGUCCUCCGUUAAAUCCAACUGCUUAACAGAUGGGCCGCGGAGGAUACUACAAGACCAGGAGGCAGGAGAGGCAAGCGGUACUCAGUGGGUAGGGGUAAAAUCCGUUGAUCCAUUGAAGACCACCAGUGGCGAAGGCGGCUUGCCAGAAUGCGCUCGACGGUGAGGGAUGAAAGCUGGGGGAGCAAACCGG